UGCCAGCCGCCGCGGUAAUACGGAGGGUGCAAGCGUUGUUCGGAAUUAUUGGGCGUAAAGCGCGUGUAGGCGGUUCGUUAAGUCUGAUGUGAAAGCCCGGGGCUCAACCCCGGAAGUGCAUUGGAAACUGGCGAACUUGAGUACGGGAGAGGAAAGUGGAAUUCCAUGUGUAGCGGUAAAAUGCGUAAAUAUAUGGAGGAACACCAGUGGCGAAGGCGGCUCACUGGCUCGAUACUGACGCUGAGGUGCGAAAGCGUGGGGAGCAAACAGGAUUAGAUA
RNAcentral lists this ribosomal RNA (279 nucleotides) under uncultured bacterium. RNAcentral's name for it is "partial 16S ribosomal RNA". It matches the Rfam family "Bacterial small subunit ribosomal RNA", at positions 506 to 784 of the family's 1533-position model. The record is from RNAcentral.